AGAGUUUGAUCCUGGCUCAGGACGAACGCUGGCGGCGUGCCUAACACAUGCAAGUCGAACGAGGUCGCCUUCGGGCAAUGACCAAGUGGCGAACGGGUGCGUAACACGUGAGGAACCUGCCCCGAAGACUGGGACAACCACGGGAAACUGUGGCUAAUACCAGAUGCCCUCCGCUGAUCGCAUGAUCGGCGGAGGAAAUGCUCCGGCGCUUCGGGAGGGCCUCGCGGCCUAUCAGCUUGUUGGUGGGGUAACGGCUCACCAAGGCAUCGACGGGUAGCUGGUCUGAGAGGACGAUCAGCCACACUGGGACUGAGACACGGCCCAGACUCCUGCGGGAGGCAGCAGUGGGGAAUCUUGCGCAAUGGGCGAAAGCCUGACGCAGCAACGCCGCGUGGGGGAUGAAGGCUCUCGGGUUGUAAACCCCUUUCAGCAGGGACGAAAUGACGGUACCUGUAGAGAAGCCCGGCCAANUACGUGCCAGCAGCCGCGGUAACACGUAGGGGGCGAGCGUUGUCCGGAANUANUGGGCGUGAAGAGCUNGUAGGCGGUUGGUAAGUCAGAUGUGAAAGGUUGGGGCUCANCCCUAAGACUGCAUCCGAUACUGCUAUGACUAGAGUNCGGUAGAGGAGUGUGGAAUUCCUGGUGUAGCGGUGAAAUGCGCAGAUAUCAGGAGGAACACCGACGGCGAAGGCAGCACUCUGGGCCGGUACUGACGCUGAGGAGCGAAAGCGUGGGUAGCAAACAGGAUUAGAUACCCUGGUAGUCCACGCCGUAAACGAUGUACAUUAGGCGUUCGGCUAGGUUGCUAGUUGAGUGUCGCAGCAAACGCGAUAAAUGUACCGCCUGGGGAGUACGGUCGCAAGGCUAAAACUCAAAGGAAUUGACGGGGGCCCGCACAAGCAGCGGAGCGUGUGGUUUAAUUCGAGGCUACGCGAAGAACCUUACCUGGGAAUGACAUGUUGGUAGUACGGAAGCGAAAGCGGAAGGACCUUUCGGGGAGCCAACGCAGGUGCUGCAUGGUUGUCGUCAGCUCGUGCCGUGAGGUGUUCGGUUAAGUCCGCAAACGAGCGCAACCCUCGGUGCUAGUUACAAGUGUCUAGCAUGACUGCCCAUGACAAAUGGGAGGAAGGCGGGGACGACGUCAAAUCAGCAUGGCCUUAAUAUCCAGGGCGACACACACGCUACAAUGGUCGGUACAAUGGGUAGCGAAGUAGCGAUACGGAGCCAAUCCUAUAAAGCUGGUCUCAGUUCGGAUUGCAGGCUGCAACUCGCCUGCAUGAAGUCGGAGUUGCUAGUAACCGCGAAUCAGCACGUUGCGGUGAAUACGUUCCCGGGCCUUGUACACACCGCCCGUCACGUCAUGGGAGUUGGUCGAGCCUGAAGUCGGGAAGCUAACCGUUCGGGGGCUA
This 1409-nucleotide ribosomal RNA is filed under the name uncultured bacterium. RNAcentral describes it as "bacterial SSU rRNA". It matches the Rfam family "Bacterial small subunit ribosomal RNA". The record is from RNAcentral.